AGCGUAGGCGGGCUAUCAAGUCUGGGGUGAAAUCCCACGGCUCAACCGUGGAACUGCCUUAGAUACUGACGGCCUCGAGGAAGGUAGGGGCAUGCGGAACUAACGGUGGAGCGGUGAAAUGCGUUGAUAUCGUUAGGAACUCCGGUGGCGAAAGCGGCGUGCUGGACCUUUUCUGACGCUGAGGCUCGAAAGCUAGGGGAGCAAACG
Molecule: ribosomal RNA, 207 nt
Filed under: uncultured bacterium
Lineage: Bacteria
Description: partial 16S ribosomal RNA
Rfam family: Bacterial small subunit ribosomal RNA
Source: RNAcentral